GGGGCACCCAUGGGUGCUCGAUGGAAUGAAUGGGCAUUGAGGGGCACCCAUGGGUGCUCCAAUGGAAUGAAUGGGAUUUGUGGGCACCCAUGGGUGCUCCUGUUUAAUAUGUGGGGUUGGGGGGCACCCGUGGGUGCUCCAAUGGAAUGCAUGGGCUUUGAGGGGCACCCAUGGGUGCUCCACUGGAAUGAAUGGGCUUAGAGGGGCACCCAUGGGUGCUUCUAUGGAAUGAAUGCGGUUUGGGGGCACCCAUGGGUGUUCCAAUGGAAUGUGUGGGGUCAGGGGGCACCCAUGGGUGCUGCUGUGGAAUGAAUGGGCUUUGAGGGGCACCCAUGGGUGCUCCUGUGGAGUAAAUGGAGUCUGGGGGCACCCAUGGGUGCUCCAAUGGAAUGAAUGGGAUUUGGGGGCACCCGUGGGUGCUUCUAUGGAAUGAAUGAGGUAUUGGACACCCAUGGGUGCUCCUGUGUCAUAGGUGGGGUCGGGGGGCACCCAUGGGUGCUCCAGUGGAAUGAAUGGGCAUUGAGGGGCACCCAUGGGUGCUCCUGUUUAAUAGGUGGGGUCGGGGGGCACCCAUGGGUGCUCCA
RNAcentral lists this long non-coding RNA (584 nucleotides) under Numida meleagris (helmeted guineafowl). Its description in RNAcentral is "lncRNA (ENSNMEG00000001330.1)". The record is from RNAcentral. Lineage: Eukaryota; Metazoa; Chordata; Aves; Galliformes; Numididae.